This 73-nucleotide transfer RNA is filed under the name Dictyocaulus viviparus (bovine lungworm). It matches the Rfam family "tRNA". Rfam says of the family: Transfer RNA (tRNA) molecules are approximately 80 nucleotides in length. Lineage: Eukaryota; Metazoa; Nematoda; Chromadorea; Rhabditida; Metastrongylidae. The record is from Rfam by way of RNAcentral.
GCCUCGGUAGUGUAAUAGAUCAGCACAGCAGAUCGGAUAUUUGUAAGUGCGGGUUCGAGUCCCGCUUGAGGUU